RNAcentral lists this ribosomal RNA (245 nucleotides) under uncultured Oscillospiraceae bacterium. Its description in RNAcentral is "partial 16S ribosomal RNA". It matches the Rfam family "Bacterial small subunit ribosomal RNA", at positions 524 to 768 of the family's 1533-position model. Lineage: Bacteria; Bacillati; Bacillota; Clostridia; Eubacteriales; Oscillospiraceae. The record is from RNAcentral.
UACGUAGGUGGCGAGCGUUGUCCGGAAUUACUGGGUGUAAAGGGCGUGUAGGCGGGGAUGUAAGUCAGAUGUGAAAUACCCAGGCUUAACCUGGGUGCUGCAUCUGAAACUAUGUUUCUUGAGUGUCGGAGAGGAAAGUGGAAUUCCCAGUGUAGCGGUGAAAUGCGUAGAUAUUGGGAGGAACACCAGUGGCGAAGGCGACUUUCUGGACGAUAACUGACGCUGAUGCGCGAAAGCGUGGGGAG